ACAAAAAUAAGCUCUUUUUGUUUUGCCUCUGUUACUUAAUCUGUGGGGAUGCAGGGGCAGGGGAAGCGGGAGAACGGCUGUGCUGCAGGGCCUGGGCAGCAGCCAAUCAGGGAGCGGGAUUAGCUGGAGGCAGGCAUAAACACGGGUUGUUGCUGUUGGUAACAGAGAUCUGAUUGGCUGCUUGGAGUUCUUGCUCAAUGGGAUAGGUGUUUUAACGUAGAACCGGGGGACUCUGCAGGCCACUCGUUUCGCCGGCCGCCAGCUGCUCCAAACAUGGGCCGGGCCUCUCCGCCAGCCAAGUGGUCAGCAGGCCCGUGAUGUCACAGCGCGGCAUGUUCCCGACCCGGCGCUGGCCCGCGCCGGCAUUCCACCGCCUGCUAAUGCCACAUGACCCCGGCGGCGAGGCCGCGGGGAUCUGGACCUGGAACACGGCGGCCCGUCUCACGCCGUGACAGCACCCGGUGUUCUCUGCCCCCGUCUACCCGGUCAGGUGACAGCGUGUGAAGAGGCCCGGUUCAGUGGGGUCACGCCUGGCCCUGUCCUGGACUGAUUGAUUUAAAAAAAAAAAAAAAAAAAAAAUCAUGCAUCAGAUGCAUCGGCCUUAUUUUAAACUUAGCAUAAACAGAAAACUUCUCCAUUCAAACCAAUGCAGCACAAAAAAGGCUGAGCUACAAGCUAGGCUAACAAGCUACAAACAGCCUUUAUGCAUUAUGUCACAUAGGGAGCUGUAACAAUAACAGUUACCAAUAAAAUGUUCUGAACACUCA
Molecule: long non-coding RNA, 767 nt
Organism: Betta splendens (Siamese fighting fish)
Lineage: Eukaryota; Metazoa; Chordata; Actinopteri; Anabantiformes; Osphronemidae
Exons: 3
Source: RefSeq, a predicted model, not a curated record